UAGGGAAUCUUCGGCAAUGGGGGCAACCCUGACCGAGCAACGCCGCGUGAGUGAAGAAGGUUUUCGGAUCGUAAAGCUCUGUUGUAGGUCAAGAACGGGUGUGAGAGUGGAAAGUUCACACUGUGACGGUAGCUUACCAGAAAGGGACGGCUAACUACGUGCCAGCAGCCGCGGUAAUACGUAGGUCCCGAGCGUUGUCCGGAUUUAUUGGGCGUAAAGCGAGCGCAGGCGGUUUGAUAAGUCUGAAGUUAAAGGCUGUGGCUCAACCAUAGUUCGCUUUGGAAACUGUCAAACUUGAGUGCAGAAGGGGAGAGUGGAAUUCCAUGUGUAGCGGUGAAAUGCGUAGAUAUAUGGAGGAACACCGGUGGCGAAAGCGGCUCUCUGGUCUGUAACUGACGCUGAGGCUCGAAAGCGUGGGGAGCGAACAGGAUUAGAUACCCUGGUAGUCCACGCCGUAAACGAUGAGUGCUAGGUGUUGGAUCCUUUCCGGGAUUCAGUGCCGCAGCUAACGCAUUAAGCACUCCGCCUGGGGAGUACGACCGCAAGGUUGA
Molecule: ribosomal RNA, 551 nt
Filed under: uncultured bacterium
Lineage: Bacteria
Description: partial 16S ribosomal RNA
Rfam family: Bacterial small subunit ribosomal RNA
Source: RNAcentral